This 497-nucleotide ribosomal RNA is filed under the name uncultured bacterium. RNAcentral's name for it is "partial 16S ribosomal RNA". It matches the Rfam family "Bacterial small subunit ribosomal RNA", at positions 28 to 507 of the family's 1533-position model. The record is from RNAcentral.
GAUGAACGCUGGCGGCGUGCCUAAUACAUGCAAGUCGAGCGAACGGACGAGAAGCUUGCUUCUCUGAUGUUAGCGGCGGACGGGUGAGUAACACGUGGAUAACCUACCUAUAAGACUGGGAUAACUUCGGGACACCGGCGCUAAUACCGGAUGAUAUUUUGCACCGCAUGGUUCAAAAGUGAAAGACGGUCUUGCUGUCACUUAUAGAUGGAUCCGCGCUGCAUUAGCUAGUUGGUAAGGUAACGGCUUACCAAGGCAACGAUGCAUAGCCGACCUGAGAGGGUGAUCGGCCACACGGGAACUGAGACACGGUCCAGACUCCUACGGGAGGCAGCAGUAGGGAAUCGUCCGCAAUGGGCGAAAGCCUGACGGAGCAACGCCGCGUGAGUGAUGAAGGUCUUCGGAUCGUAAAACUCUGUUAUUAGGGAAGAACAUAUGUGUAAGUAACUGUGCACAGCUUGACGGUACCUAAUCAGAAAGCCACGGCUAACUACGUG